UGGGGAAUAUUGGGCAAUGGGGGAAACCCUGACCCAGCAACGCCGCGUGAAGGAAGAAGGCUUUCGGGUUGUAAACUUCUUUUGUUAGGGAAGAAAUUGACGGUACCUAACGAAUAAGCCACGGCUAACUACGUGCCAGCAGCCGCGGUAAUACGUAGGUGGCAAGCGUUGUCCGGAAUUACUGGGUGUAAAGGGCGCGUAGGUGGGAUUAUAAGUCUGAUGUGAAAUCUAUCGGCUCAACCGGUAGACUGCAUUGGAAACUAUAAUUCUUGAGUGAUGGAGAGGCAGGCGGAAUUCCGUGUGUAGCGGUGGAAUGCAUAGAUAUACGGAGGAACACCAGUGGCGAAGGCGGCCUGCUGGACAUUAACUGACACUGAGGCGCGAAAGCGUGGGGAGCAAACA
The sequence is a ribosomal RNA, 402 nucleotides long. It matches the Rfam family "Bacterial small subunit ribosomal RNA", at positions 355 to 774 of the family's 1533-position model.